CAGUGUGGGCAAACAAAGGCUGCUUCCUGGAACACUGUGUCACAAGAUUCCCAGGGCUAUAGCCUUCUUGUCUCGGUCACAUGGCAGGUGCACGGAACUCAGUGUACGGCUCUCUGUAGGGGAUGUACCAUAUCAGACUAAUUCCUUGGUUCGACCUGGUUGGUUCUUGCCAGGCUGGGACUGAUAGACAUCAGAGCUCAGCUGAAAAGUUCCAUUGUGUAGUUUUCCCCUGUUUAUAAACCGGUAGGGAAUGAGCUCCCUAGAAGAGCUCAUCCCAACGUAAUGUAUGCAAAACACCAAAAUAUAUAGACACACCAGGAUGUUUUCUCAUGCCUAGUGAUCACCCUACAAAGGUAAAAGGACUGCCAGAAGAGAUAUACUUUGGAGGCAGAAUCAGCACAUAGCAUGGAAGGAAGAAAGGAGCUGAAUGUUUAUGCACAUAUGUAUAUAAGAAGGGAAUGGUGUUUUCUCUUUAGUUUUGCUGAUAGGAAGCUCAGGAAAAAGGCGACAUGAUGCAUGUAUAAAAGGAAGAGGGCCUGCAUAUGGAUAGUUAGACACACCCUAUUUAAAAGAGUACAUGCCUACAGGCCUGAUACUCCCUGAAGGUUUCUCAUGCAAAGACUAACCAGGUCUGACCAUGCUUAGUUUCUGAGCGUGGACAAGGUGAACCAGUUGCUUCUACCUCGGACUGAAAGGAAACUAGAGUCCCUUCUGAAAUGUUUCCCACAUCAUCUUCUUUCUAACCACUCAGUGAGCUAAGAUACUUUUUGCACACUGGCUUUCCUGACUAUGGUUUGCCCUCCUGUCUCUCAAGGUGAUUCCCAUUAUUUCACCCAGAUCAGCAAAAGUAAAUGAAGUUUGCUAAAUAUGUGCCUUGCCAAGAAAUAAGGCACAACACUAAUGUUCUUAAUGAAGUGCAAAGGAACAGCACAAUAUCUAACAGAACAGUCUGAAAUUGCACAUAAUUCUUUCCUUCACCUCCCAAAGAAUAAUAAACGCUUUUGGAAGAAGACUGAAAAUUCCAGGAAAGCAGGAAAUCAAACAGACAGUUGGCAUGCCAUCAUCUUCUACCGAAUGUCCUCUGGGUUCUUUCCUUCAUUUGCAAAAGUUGGACAAGGAAAGCUUUCCAAGGAAAGCCCCAAAACACGGCACGAUGGAAGCUUUUUUAAGUGUUUGCAGUCAUCUAUAGCAUCUUCAAUACUUGGAAAGUGGAAAGGAUUUCCAGAGAAUUCUAAAAUGAGUGUUGCUCUCCUCCAAGCAUCCUACAGCAUUGACAAAAGGCAAAAUGGUGACUUUUUUCACCCUUAGAAUUGCCAAAGGAAAAUGAGCAGGGUUUGGGGAAGCAGCGCAAAGAGAAGCACUGUAAAGCAUCAAGACUAUUUCUCUUUAUUCUUAAAGGUCAGCAAGCUGUCUUGCUUCCUGAAGAAGCUUUGAGGGAUGAUUCACACAAACUUUGCGACCUCCUUCAGGUGUUAUUAUUAUUUCAGGCCUAAUGAAACCACAGUCUAUGCUAUUUUGAACGAAGUAAAGAGAAAAGAAGAAUAAUUAAAGAAAUAUGCAGAGAAGGUCUGAAGGACAAAUAUUUAAAAAAAUCAUAUGUGCAUGAUAACUGCAGCAAGAUUAGUAUUCUUUCCAUCUAUGCACACAGAUGGAAAAAUUCGACCUUGCUCACAAUGGAGAAACAAUUGGUGAAGAUGAUGGAACUUGCUGAGAUGGCUAAAUUGACUUCUUUGAUCAGAGAAAAGUCAAUAGUUGCAUACAUUGCUGACUGGAAAUUCCUUAUGGACUUUUUGUGUAAUACAGAAAAAAUGAAUUUAAGAUUUAUGGUUUUGAUGAUUCCACAGGAUAGGUUAUAGAAAAGAGAGAGUUAUGUUGUAACCAUAGAAUAAAAAGUAAAGUUGUGAUUGUACAUAUGACUGCUGUAAAGAAGAUUGGAAACUACUUCUUUGCAGUUUUUUUCUUUUCUAUUUUUCUUCCAGGCUGCUACAUCGAGUCUGCUGCAUUCAGCCAACUCUUCUAUGCUACAGGGCAGUAUUAAAGCAGAUAUAAACAAUGGGUUUCAGUUCAGAAGAAGACAUUCAUUCUCUAUCAUAUCCCAAGAGGGAAAUGAGAGAAAUAAUGAGAUGCAAUUUGAUGUGAUGAGAUUGGUGACACUGCUU
Pseudonaja textilis is the source of this 2159-nucleotide non-coding RNA. The record is from RefSeq and is a predicted model, not a curated record. Lineage: Eukaryota; Metazoa; Chordata; Lepidosauria; Squamata; Elapidae.